AGAAUUUGAUUUUUAGGUGAAGAAACCUAAAUUAUAUUGAUAGACAAGAAGACCCUAUUGAGCUUUAAAGCAGCAAGUAGAAAACAAUGUAUAGACUUAAAUAUUAAUCUACUUUAAAUUUUGGUUGGGGCGACUAAGGAACAAAUAAAGCUUCUUUACUACUUUUAUACCUACAAGUUUUGAUCCAGAAGUUCUGAUUAAUGGAAUUAGUUACCAUAGGGAUAACAGCA
This 230-nucleotide ribosomal RNA is filed under the name Erosaria kingae. RNAcentral describes it as "partial 16S large subunit ribosomal RNA". The record is from RNAcentral. Lineage: Eukaryota; Metazoa; Mollusca; Gastropoda; Littorinimorpha; Cypraeidae.